Molecule: ribosomal RNA, 559 nt
Filed under: uncultured organism
Description: bacterial SSU rRNA
Rfam family: Bacterial small subunit ribosomal RNA
Source: RNAcentral
AGCUAACGCGUUAAGCAUUCCGCCUGGGAAGUACGGCCGCAAGGCUAAAACUCAAAGGAAUAGACGGGGAUCCGCACAAGCGGUGGAGCGUCUGGUUUAAUUCGACAGUAAGCGUGGUACCUCACCAGGGUUUGACAUCCCUUGACAGCCUUGGAAACAAGGUUUCCUUCGGGCAAGGUGACAGGUGCUGCAUGGUCGUCGUCAGUUCGUGCCGUGAGGUGUUCCGUUAAGUCGGGAAACGAACGAAACCCCUAUUGCAUGUUACAAUUUCUCAUGCAAGACUGCCCGGAUAUACUGGGAGGAAGGUGGGGAUGACGUCAGAUCUGCAUGGUCCUUAUACCCUGGGCGACACAGGCGCUACAAUGGCAGAGACAAAGGGUUGCAAAACCGCAAGGUGAAGCUAAUCCCAAAAACUUUGUCUAAGUUCGGAUUGAAGGCUGCAAUUCGCCUUCAUGAAGCUGGAAUCGCUAGUAAUCGUGAAUCAGCCACGUCACGGUGAAUAUGUUCCCGGAUCUUGUACUCACCGCCCGUCACACCAAGAGAGUUGUAGCUCCCGAAG